Molecule: ribosomal RNA, 251 nt
Filed under: uncultured bacterium
Lineage: Bacteria
Description: partial 16S ribosomal RNA
Rfam family: Bacterial small subunit ribosomal RNA
Source: RNAcentral
UACGAAGGGGCUAGCGUUGCUCGGAAUCACUGGGCGUAAAGGGUGCGUAGGCGGGUCUUUAAGUCAGGGUGAAAUCCUGGAGCUCAACUCCAGAACUGCCUUUGAUACUGAGGAUCUUGAGUACGGGAGAGGUGAGUGGAACUGCGAGUGUAGAGGUGAAAUUCGUAGAUAUUCGCAAGAACACCAGUGGCGAAGGCGGCUCACUGGCCCGUAACUGACGCUGAGGCACGAAAGCGUGGGGAGCGAACAGG